CCUACGGGAGGCUGCAGUGGGGAAUAUUGGACAAUGGGGGGAACCCUGAUCCAGCCAUGCCGCGUGUGUGAAGAAGGCCUUUUGGUUGUAAAGCACUUUAAGCGAGGAGGAGGCUACCGAGAUUAAUACUCUUGGAUAGUGGACGUUACUCGCAGAAUAAGCACCGGCUAACUCUGUGCCAGCAGCCGCGGUAAUACAGAGGGUGCAAGCGUUAAUCGGAUUUACUGGGCGUAAAGCGCGCGUAGGUGGCCAAUUAAGUCAAAUGUGAAAUCCCCGAGCUUAACUUGGGAAUUGCAUUCGAUACUGGUUGGCUAGAGUAUGGGAGAGGAUGGUAGAAUUCCAGGUGUAGCGGUGAAAUGCGUAGAGAUCUGGAGGAAUACCGAUGGCGAAGGCAGCCAUCUGGCCUAAUACUGACACUGAGGUGCGAAAGCAUGGGGAGCAAACAGGAUUAGAUACCCCGGUAGUC
Molecule: ribosomal RNA, 466 nt
Filed under: uncultured Acinetobacter sp.
Lineage: Bacteria; Pseudomonadati; Pseudomonadota; Gammaproteobacteria; Moraxellales; Moraxellaceae
Description: bacterial SSU rRNA
Rfam family: Bacterial small subunit ribosomal RNA
Source: RNAcentral